AGUUAUCUGAACCUUCGGGGAACGAUAACGGCGUCGAGCGGCGGACGGGUGAGUAAUGCCUAGGAAAUUGCCCUGAUGUGGGGGAUAACCAUUGGAAACGAUGGCUAAUACCGCAUGAUGCCUACGGGCCAAAGAGGGGGACCUUCGGGCCUCUCGCGUCAGGAUAUGCCUAGGUGGGAUUAGCUAGUUGGUGAGGUAAGGGCUCACCAAGGCGACGAUCCCUAGCUGGUCUGAGAGGAUGAUCAGCCACACUGGAACUGAGACACGGUCCAGACUCCUACGGGAGGCAGCAGUGGGGAAUAUUGCACAAUGGGCGCAAGCCUGAUGCAGCCAUGCCGCGUGUGUGAAGAAGGCCUUCGGGUUGUAAAGCACUUUCAGUCGUGAGGAAGGUAGUGUAGUUAAUAGCUGCAUUAUUUGACGUUAGCGACAGAAGAAGCACCGGCUAACUCCGUGCCAGCAGCCGCGGUAAUACGGAGGGUGCGAGCGUUAAUCGGAAUUACUGGGCGUAAAGCGCAUGCAGGUGGUUUGUUAAGUCAGAUGUGAAAGCCCGGGGCUCAACCUCGGAAUAGCAUUUGAAACUGGCAGACUAGAGUACUGUAGAGGGGGGUAGAAUUUCAGGUGUAGCGGUGAAAUGCGUAGAGAUCUGAAGGAAUACCGGUGGCGAAGGCGGCCCCCUGGACAGAUACUGACACUCAGAUGCGAAAGCGUGGGGAGCAAACAGGAUUAGAUACCCUGGUAGUCCACGCCGUAAACGAUGUCUACUUGGAGGUUGUGGCCUUGAGCCGUGGCUUUCGGAGCUAACGCGUUAAGUAGACCGCCUGGGGAGUACGGUCGCAAGAUUAAAACUCAAAUGAAUUGACGGGGGCCCGCACAAGCGGUGGAGCAUGUGGU
Molecule: ribosomal RNA, 891 nt
Filed under: Vibrio alginolyticus
Lineage: Bacteria; Pseudomonadati; Pseudomonadota; Gammaproteobacteria; Vibrionales; Vibrionaceae
Description: bacterial SSU rRNA
Rfam family: Bacterial small subunit ribosomal RNA
Source: RNAcentral